This 630-nucleotide ribosomal RNA is filed under the name Tetragenococcus muriaticus. Its description in RNAcentral is "bacterial SSU rRNA". It matches the Rfam family "Bacterial small subunit ribosomal RNA", at positions 85 to 702 of the family's 1533-position model. Lineage: Bacteria; Bacillati; Bacillota; Bacilli; Lactobacillales; Enterococcaceae. The record is from RNAcentral.
GGGCUGCGGAGUGGCGGACGGGUGAGUAACACGUGGGGAACCUACCCAGCAGCGGGGGAUAACACUUGGAAACAGGUGCUAAUACCGCAUAGGACUUUUUUUCGCCUGAAAGGAAGUUAAAAGACGCUUUUUGCGUCACUGCUGGAGGGACCCGCGGUGCAUUAGCCAGUUGGUGAGGUAACGGCUCACCAAAGCAACGAUGCAUAGCCGACCUGAGAGGGUGAUCGGCCACACUGGGACUGAGACACGGCCCAGACUCCUACGGGAGGCAGCAGUAGGGAAUCUUCGGCAAUGGACGCAAGUCUGACCGAGCAACGCCGCGUGAGUGAAGAAGGUUUUCGGAUCGUAAAGCUCUGUUGUCAGCCAAGAACAGGAAAAAGAGGCAAUGCUUUUUCUUUGACGGUAGCUGACCAGAAAGCCACGGCUAACUACGUGCCAGCAGCCGCGGUAAUACGUAGGUGGCAAGCGUUGUCCGGAUUUAUUGGGCGUAAAGGGAGCGCAGGCGGUUCGUUAAGUCUGAUGUGAAAGCCCUCGGCUCAACCGAGGAGGGUCAUUGGAAACUGGCGAACUUGAGUGCAGAAGAGGAGAGUGGAAUUCCAUGUGUAGCGGUGAAAUGCGUAGAUAUAUGGA